GAUGAACGCUGGCGGCGUGCCUAAUACAUGCAAGUCGAGCGAACAGACGAGGCGCUUGCUCCUCUGACGUUAGCGGCGGACGGGAGAGUAACACGUGGAUCACCUACCUAUCAGACUGGGAUCACUUCGGGAAACCGGCGCUAAUACCGGAGAAUAUAUUGCACCGCGUGGUUCAAUAGUGAAAGACGGUUUUGCUGUCACUUAUCGAUGGAUACGCGCCGCAUGAGCUGGUUGGUAAGGUAACGGCUUAUCAAGGCGACGAUGCGUAGCCGAGCGGAGAGGGUGAUCGGCCACACGGGAACUGGGACACGGUCCAUGCUCCUACGGGAGGCAGCAGUAGGGAAUCUUCCGCAAUGGGCGAAAGCCUGACGGAGCAACGCCGCGUGAGAGAUGAAGGUCUUCGGAUCGUAAAACUCUGUUAUUAGGGAAGAACAAAUGUGUAAGUAACUAUGCACGUCUUGACGGUACCUAAUCAGAAAGCCACGGCUAACUACGUG
RNAcentral lists this ribosomal RNA (497 nucleotides) under uncultured bacterium. RNAcentral's name for it is "partial 16S ribosomal RNA". It matches the Rfam family "Bacterial small subunit ribosomal RNA", at positions 28 to 507 of the family's 1533-position model. The record is from RNAcentral.